This 253-nucleotide ribosomal RNA is filed under the name uncultured bacterium. RNAcentral describes it as "partial 16S ribosomal RNA". It matches the Rfam family "Bacterial small subunit ribosomal RNA", at positions 524 to 776 of the family's 1533-position model. The record is from RNAcentral.
UACAGAGGGGGCAAGCGUUAUUCGGAAUUAUUGGGCGUAAAGGGCGCGUAGGCGGCUUGGCAAGUGGAUGGUGAAAUCCCUCGGCUUAACCGAGGAACUGCCGUCCAAACUGCUUCGCUUGAGACCGGGAGAGGUGAGUGGAAUUCCCAGUGUAGCGGUGAAAUGCGUAGAUAUUGGGAGGAACACCAGUGGCGAAGGCGGGUCUCUGGGCCGAUACUGACGCUGAGGAGCGAAAGCGUGGGGAGCGAACAGG